This 629-nucleotide ribosomal RNA is filed under the name Trichoderma atroviride. Its description in RNAcentral is "eukaryotic LSU rRNA". The stretch from base 239 to 392 matches the Rfam family "5.8S ribosomal RNA". Lineage: Eukaryota; Fungi; Ascomycota; Sordariomycetes; Hypocreales; Hypocreaceae. The record is from RNAcentral.
GGAAGUAAAAGUCGUAACAAGGUCUCCGUUGGUGAACCAGCGGAGGGAUCAUUACCGAGUUUACAACUCCCAAACCCAAUGUGAACCAUACCAAACUGUUGCCUCGGCGGGGUCACGCCCCGGGUGCGUCGCAGCCCCGGAACCAGGCGCCCGCCGGAGGGACCAACCAAACUCUUUCUGUAGUCCCCUCGCGGACGUUAUUUCUUACAGCUCUGAGCAAAAAUUCAAAAUGAAUCAAAACUUUCAACAACGGAUCUCUUGGUUCUGGCAUCGAUGAAGAACGCAGCGAAAUGCGAUAAGUAAUGUGAAUUGCAGAAUUCAGUGAAUCAUCGAAUCUUUGAACGCACAUUGCGCCCGCCAGUAUUCUGGCGGGCAUGCCUGUCCGAGCGUCAUUUCAACCCUCGAACCCCUCCGGGGGUCCGGCGUUGGGGAUCGGGAACCCCUAAGACGGGAUCCCGGCCCCGAAAUACAGUGGCGGUCUCGCCGCAGCCUCUCAUGCGCAGUAGUUUGCACAACUCGCACCGGGAGCGCGGCGCGUCCACGUCCGUAAAACACCCAACUUCUGAAAUGUUGACCUCGGAUCAGGUAGGAAUACCCGCUGAACUUAAGCAUAUCAAUAAGCGGAGGAA